UCCCUGGUGGACUAGUGGUUAGCAUGUGGUGCUCUCACCGCCAUGGCCCGGGUUCAAUCCAUGGUCAGUAAG
Molecule: non-coding RNA, 72 nt
Organism: Pangasianodon gigas (Mekong giant catfish)
Lineage: Eukaryota; Metazoa; Chordata; Actinopteri; Siluriformes; Pangasiidae
Source: the annotation of a GenBank genome assembly